AACCGGUGAACUUGUAAAAAGUAUAUACCUUGAAAGUAUAAGUAAAGAGACCUAGAUUCUCUAUUGGUUU
RNAcentral lists this transfer RNA (70 nucleotides) under Trigonopterus selaruensis. Its description in RNAcentral is "tRNA-Ser". The record is from RNAcentral. Lineage: Eukaryota; Metazoa; Arthropoda; Insecta; Coleoptera; Curculionidae.